Hyaena hyaena (striped hyena) is the source of this 1332-nucleotide long non-coding RNA. RefSeq lists it as uncharacterized. The record is from RefSeq and is a predicted model, not a curated record. The transcript is spliced from 4 exons. Lineage: Eukaryota; Metazoa; Chordata; Mammalia; Carnivora; Hyaenidae.
AGAUGCUCAACCGACUGAGCCACCCAGGAGCCCCAUAAAAGGAACACGCUUUCGGGAGCCAAGCACGCGUCCCAUCCAGCUCCACAUUCAGUGAUGUCACCUUGGAGCCUGAAAUGACCCAUGGUGGGAACACAGAGGCCGUGAAAACCAGCCAACACUAUGAGGCGAGACUACUUCCUUGUGGAGAGCUGGUUGAUAAGAGGUUUGCCAGCACACCCCUGCCUAAGCUCCAGGGCCAUCCGCCAGGACAAAGGUGUUCGCUCUGCCACACCGCAAGGCCAGCUUCAGACCCAGCGCUCCUGCACCCAGAGACUUCCCUGGCCAUCGCGGUCACCUCUCCUACCUGCUUGGGCAGGCAUGAUGCUGGGUUUCUUGGGACAUGUGAAGGGAGGCCAGUGCCGCUCACCUGGAGGGGCUUUCAUCCACGGGCCGACUGCUCACGUAGAGAGGAGAGGGGAUACUGAGCCAGGGUGUGCUGACGAGGAAGUCCGGGGAGGGAAGGACGGCAGACAGCUUGUCUAAAAUAGUGGAUAUGAAAUGCUUAAAGCAGCCACAUCUUAACUGGGGGGUUAGUCCUUAUAUAAAACGGGGAAGGGAAAUCCUGAUUAUAAUGCACCAUUGUGAUACCUUUCUAUGGUUCUGCAAAAUGUUACUGUUGGGGAAACUGGGUGAUGGGUGUCUGGAUCUCCUUGUACGUGCUAAUGCAACUUCUUCUAUAUCUGCACUGCUUCUAAUAAGACAUUAAAUGAAAUGAAGCUGCUGACAUGUAAAGGCCUAUGUGAAGAGACCUGCGUUCUGGCUUGGCGCUGCUGUAGUACCCAAGUUGAGGCCUUCCUUUGCCCACGUCCUUCCUAUACAACCGGGAAAGAGAGGCGGCCUUCUGUGGUACGGGAAGUCAGAGCGAAUCCUGAGUGGUAAGCAGGGCAGAGGCCCUCUGCCGAUUUCCCUGUAGGCCGGAAAUGAAAACAACAUGCAUGGAGUGUAGCUGGUCUUUCUUCUCAUCUCGAGGCGACAGGCACUCAGCAUCAGCUGCCUUCAGGGGACUUCCCAGUCCCUGAGGAGAGCGAAGCCACUCUGGACACAAGCAGAGGUGAGAUUCACAGGUAAGACCCGCUGACAAAACGAAACCAAACUUCUCUGCAGCAAACACAGAAGAAACCUGAGACUGCGUUUUGGCCCUCGAGGACCCUGCAGCUGGGGAGGGACCGCCAUGCUGUAUUUUCGUAGGUUUUACAGCAAAACAAAAGUACUCAAACGCCCCAGGAGAUGGGGUGUCACUGUUCUGUUUUGUCAAGACCACACACGAUUUCCUCGGUUCGCCUCUUACCUCAC